UUCUCAGGCUGACAGAGGACGUGGUUUGCCAACUGCACUCACUCCACUCAGCGCAGAAUGGCUUAGAGACUUAUAGACAGACAUGCCCAAAGAAGUCUUUCCAAGGUGAUUUAAAUACCUUUGAGGU
RNAcentral lists this long non-coding RNA (127 nucleotides) under Jaculus jaculus (lesser Egyptian jerboa). RNAcentral describes it as "Rhabdomyosarcoma 2 associated transcript conserved region 2 (ENSJJAG00000008031.1)". It matches the Rfam family "Rhabdomyosarcoma 2 associated transcript conserved region 2". The record is from RNAcentral. Lineage: Eukaryota; Metazoa; Chordata; Mammalia; Rodentia; Dipodidae.